This 75-nucleotide transfer RNA is filed under the name Nanobdellota archaeon. RNAcentral's name for it is "tRNA-Thr". It matches the Rfam family "tRNA". From Rfam's summary of the family: Transfer RNA (tRNA) molecules are approximately 80 nucleotides in length. Their secondary structure includes four short double-helical elements and three loops (D, anti-codon, and T loops). Lineage: Archaea; Nanobdellati; Nanobdellota. The record is from RNAcentral.
GCCUCAGUAGCUCAGACGGUUUAGAGCGCGACAUUGGUAAUGUCGAGGUCGGGGGUUCAAUUCCCCCCUGAGGCU